Molecule: ribosomal RNA, 489 nt
Filed under: uncultured bacterium
Lineage: Bacteria
Description: partial 16S ribosomal RNA
Rfam family: Bacterial small subunit ribosomal RNA
Source: RNAcentral
AUUGAACGCUGGCGGCAGGCCUAACACAUGCAAGUCGAAUGGUAACAGGAAACAGCUUGCUGUUUCGCUGACGAGUGGCGGACGGGUGAGUAAUGUCUGGGAAACUGCCUGAUGGAGGGGGAUAACUACUGGAAACGGUAGCUAAUACCGCAUAACGUCGCAAGACCAAAGAGGGGGACCUUCGGGCCUCUUGCCAUCAGAUGUGCCCAGAUGGGAUUAGCUAGUAGGUGGGGUAACGGCUCACCUAGGCGACGAUCCCUAGCUGGUCUGAGAGGAUGACCAGCCACACGGGAACUGAGACACGGUCCAGACUCCUACGGGAGGCAGCAGUGGGGAAUAUUGCACAAUGGGCGCAAGCCUGAUGCAGCCAUGCCGCGUGUAUGAAGAAGGCCUUCGGGUUGUAAAGUACUUUCAGCGGGGAGGAAGGGAGUAAAGUUAAUACCUUUGCUCAUUGACGUUACCCGCAGAAGAAGCACCGGCUAACUCCGU